Molecule: RNA transcript, 3214 nt
Organism: Nomascus leucogenys (northern white-cheeked gibbon)
Lineage: Eukaryota; Metazoa; Chordata; Mammalia; Primates; Hylobatidae
Gene: ANAPC2
Gene name: anaphase promoting complex subunit 2
Exons: 13
Source: RefSeq, a predicted model, not a curated record
GUCAUGGCUACGCGUGCAGACGUGCGUCAUCGCCGCGCGCCGCGCCGAGCGGAUCUCGGAGUCGGUGGGUGCAGAUGGCGGCGGCAGUUGUGGUGGCGGAGGGGGACAGCGACUCCCGACCCGGACAGGAGUUGUUAGUGGCCUGGAACACCGUGAGCACCGGCCUGGUGCCGCCGGCUGCGCUGGGGCUGGUGUCUUCCCGGACCAGCGGUGCAGUCCCGCCAAAGGAAGAGGAGCUCCGGGCGGCGGUGGAGGUUCUGAGGGGCCACGGCCUACACUCGGUCCUGGAGGAGUGGUUCGUAGAGGUGCUGCAGAAUGACCUGCAGGCCAAUAUCUCCCCUGAGUUCUGGAAUGCCAUCUCCCAAUGCGAGAACUCUGCGGAUGAGCCCCAGUGCCUUCUGCUGCUCCUUGACGCUUUUGGCCUGCUGGAGAGCCGCCUGGAUCCCUACCUGCGUAGCCUAGAGCUGCUGGAGAAAUGGACUCGCCUGGGCUUGCUGAUGGGCACUGGUGCUCAGGGGCUGCGAGAAAAAGUCCACACUAUGUUGCGCGGAGUCUUGUUCUUUAGCACCCCCAGAACCUUCCAAGAGAUGAUCCAGCGUCUGUAUGGGUGCUUCUUGAGAGUCUAUAUGCAGAGUAAGAGGAAGGGGGAAGGGGGCACAGACCCGGAACUGGAGGGGGAGCUGGACAGCCGGUAUGCCCGUCGCCGGUACUACCGGCUCCUGCAGAGCCCGCUGUGUGCAGGGUGCAGCAGUGACAAGCAACAGUGCUGGUGUCGCCAGGCUCUGGAGCAGUUCCAUCAACUCAGCCAGGUCUUACACAGGCUCAGUCUGCUGGAGCGGGUCAGUGCCGAGGCUGUGACCACCACCCUGCACCAGGUGACCCGGGAGAGGAUGGAGGACCGUUGCCGAGGCGAGUACGAGCGCUCCUUCUUGCGUGAGUUCCACAAGUGGAUCGAGCGGGUGGUCGGCUGGCUCGGCAAGGUGUUCCUGCAGGAUGGCCCCACCAGGCCUGCGUCUCCUGAGGCCGGCAACACCCUGCGCCGCUGGCGCUGCCAUGUGCAAAGGUUCUUCUACCGCAUCUACGCCAGCCUGCGCAUCGAGGAGCUCUUCAGCAUCAUCCGAGGUCGUCCCGCCCCGGCCUCGGGGUCCACUCUCCCGUCUGGGGAGUCUUCCCAGGGCCUUUGCUAUGUCUCCUCUGUGUCUGCGUCUGGGCUCCCUGUGCCUUCACUGUCGCUCUUGCAGGGGGGUGCGCCGGGCAGUGCUGGGACCCUCCCCACCACGGCGUCCCCCGUGCCUGGAUCAGGGCAGGUGUGGCAGAUGCUGGACGGUGCUUCUGGGUGUCCACUGCUGUGCUCCCUUGGCCUUCGCUCCUGCUGGGGACUGGCCCCUGGGUGUUGCUCUGUCCACCCUGUGGCGUUCUGGUCAAAUGCAUCAGCACGCCAGAGUGUCGGGGGAUGUCUGGUGCCUAGCAGGUGGUCUCGUCGUCGUCCUGGGGCUGGCAAGCGCGUGUCCUCUCCCACACUGCACACACUCUGCACCAGCCAGCACAUGCGCACGCAUCCAUGUCUGUCCCUGAGGGAUGUUCCUCUUCUUGUAGACUUCCCAGACUCCCGGCCAGCCAUCGAGGACCUCAAGUACUGCCUGGAGAGGACGGACCAGAGGCAGCAGCUGCUCGUGUCCCUCAAGGCUGCCCUGGAGACUCGGCUCCUGCAUCCAGGUGUCAACACAUGUGACAUUAUCACCCUCUACAUCUCUGCCAUCAAGGCGCUGCGCGUGCUGGACCCUUCCAUGGUCAUCCUGGAGGUGGCCUGUGAGCCCAUCCGCCGCUACCUGAGGACACGGGAGGACACGGUGCGGCAGAUUGUGGCUGGGCUGACGGGGGACUCGGACGGGACAGGGGACCUGGCUGUUGAGCUGUCCAAGACCGACCCGGCGAGCCUGGAGACAGGCCAGGACAGCGAGGAUGACUCGGGCGAGCCGGAGGACUGGGUCCCAGACCCUGUGGAUGCUGAUCCGGGGAAGUCGAGCUCCAAGCGGCGUUCAUCGGACAUCAUCAGCCUGCUGGUUAGCAUCUACGGCAGCAAGGACCUCUUCAUCAAUGAGUACCGCUCGCUGCUGGCCGACCGCCUGCUGCACCAGUUCAGCUUCAGCCCCGAGCGGGAGAUCCGCAAUGUGGAGCUGCUGAAGCUGCGCUUUGGCGAGGCCCCAAUGCACUUCUGUGAAGUCAUGCUGAAGGACAUGGCAGAUUCCCGCCGCAUCAACGCCAACAUCCGGGAGGAGGAUGAGAAGCGGCCAGCAGAGGAGCAGCCACCGUUCGGGGUCUAUGCUGUCAUCCUGUCCAGUGAGUUCUGGCCGCCCUUCAAGGACGAGAAGCUGGAGGUCCCCGAGGAUAUCAGGGCAGCCCUGGAGGCUUACUGCAAGAAGUACGAGCAGCUCAAGCUGCUGGAUCCUGGAAGGACUCAGGAACCCUUGGCCCACAGAGCAGGCCAUGCGGACCCUCAGUUGGAAGCACACCCUGGGUCUGGUGACCAUGGACGUGGAGCUGGCUGACCGCACGCUGUCUGUGGCGGUCACCCCGGUACAGGCGGUGAUCUUGCUGUAUUUUCAGGACCAAGCCAGCUGGACCCUGGAGGAAUUGAGCAAGGCGGUGAAGAUGCCCGUGGCGCUGCUGCGGCGGCGGAUGUCCGUGUGGUUGCAACAGGGUGUGCUGCGCGAGGAGCCCCCCGGCACCUUCUCUGUCAUUGAGGAGGAGCGGCCUCAGGACCGGGACAACAUGGUGCUCAUUGACAGUGACGAUGAGAGCGACUCCGGCAUGGCCUCCCAGGCUGACCAGAAGGAGGAGGAGCUGCUGCUCUUCUGGACGUACAUCCAGGCCAUGCUGACCAACCUGGAGAGCCUCUCGCUGGAUCGUAUCUACAACAUGCUCCGCAUGUUUGUGGUGACCGGGCCUGCACUGGCCGAGAUUGACCUGCAGGAGCUGCAGGGCUACCUGCAGAAGAAGGUGCGGGACCAGCAGCUCGUCUACUCGGCCGGUGUCUACCGCCUGCCCAAGAACUGCAGCUGACACACCCACCCGCCUGCCCGCCAGGAGCUGCCCUGCAGGUGCGCUCGUCCUCCCGUGCCUGCCCCCGCCUGCCUGUGUCCCAGAAUGCACUGCUUAGGAGCACACCCACCCCCACCCCCACAGUGUGCAGAUUAAAGCAAGUCAGAUCAUC